Molecule: ribosomal RNA, 274 nt
Filed under: uncultured bacterium
Lineage: Bacteria
Description: partial 16S ribosomal RNA
Rfam family: Bacterial small subunit ribosomal RNA
Source: RNAcentral
CUACGGAGGGUCCAAGCGUUAUCCGGAUUCAUUGGGUUUAAAGGGUCCGCAGGCGGGAAAAUAAGUCAGUGGUGAAAGCCUACAGCUCAACUGUAGAACUGCCAUUGAUACUGUUUUUCUUGAGUAUAGAUGAAGUGGGCGGAAUAUAUCAUGUAGCGGUGAAAUGCAUAGAUAUGAUAUAGAACACCGAUUGCGAAGGCAGCUCACUAAACUAUUACUGACGCUCAGGGACGAAAGCGUGGGGAGCGAACAGGAUUAGAAACCCUUGUAGUCC